AUUGAACGCUGGCGGCAUGCUUUACACAUGCAAGUCGACCGGCAGCGGGGAGGAGCUUGCUUCUCUGCCGGCGAGUGGCGAACGGGUGAGUAAUACAUCGGAACGUGUCGAGAAGAGGGGGAUAACCACCCGAAAGGGUGGCUAAUACCGCAUAAAUUCUGAGGAAGAAAGCUGGGGACCUAGGAAUAGGCCUAGCGCUUUUUGAGCGGCCGAUGUCGGAUUAGCUAGUUGGUGAGGUAAAGGCUCACCAAGGCGAAGAUCUGUAGCGGGUCUGAGAGGAUGAUCCGCCACACUGGGACUGAGACACGGCCCAGACUCCUACGGGAGGCAGCAGUGGGGAAUUUUGGACAAUGGGGGCAACCCUGAUCCAGCCAUGCCGCGUGUAUGAAGAAGGCCUUAGGGUUGUAAAGUACUUUUGUUAGGGAAGAAAAGUCAGCUGUGAAUAAUGGCUGAUACUGACGGUACCUAAAGAAUAAGCACCGGCUAACUACGUG
RNAcentral lists this ribosomal RNA (494 nucleotides) under uncultured bacterium. RNAcentral's name for it is "partial 16S ribosomal RNA". It matches the Rfam family "Bacterial small subunit ribosomal RNA", at positions 30 to 507 of the family's 1533-position model. The record is from RNAcentral.